AUUGAACGCUGGCGGCAGGCCUAACACAUGCAAGUCGAACGGUAACAGGAAACAGCUUGCUGUUUCGCUGACGAGUGGCGGACGGGUGAGUAAUGUCUGGGAAACUGCCUGAUGGAGGGGGAUAACUACUGGAAACGGUAGCUAAUACCGCAUAACGUCGCAAGACCAAAGAGGGGGACCCUCGGGCCUCUUGCCAUCGGAUGUGCCCAGAUGGGAUUAGCUUGUUGGUGGGGUAACGGCUCACCAAGGCGACGAUCCCUAGCUGGUCUGAGAGGAUGACCAGCCACACUGGAACUGAGACACGGUCCAGACUCCUACGGGAGGCAGCAGUGGGGAAUAUUGCACAAUGGGCGCAAGCCUGAUGCAGCCAUGCCGCGUGUAUGAAGAAGGCCUUCGGGUUGUAAAGUACUUUCAGCGGGGAGGAAGGGAGUAAAGUUAAUACCUUUGCUCAUUGACGUUACCCGCAGAAGAAGCACCGGCUAACUUCGUG
This 490-nucleotide ribosomal RNA is filed under the name uncultured bacterium. RNAcentral describes it as "partial 16S ribosomal RNA". It matches the Rfam family "Bacterial small subunit ribosomal RNA", at positions 30 to 507 of the family's 1533-position model. The record is from RNAcentral.